This 29-nucleotide non-coding RNA is filed under the name Mus musculus (house mouse). Lineage: Eukaryota; Metazoa; Chordata; Mammalia; Rodentia; Muridae. The record is from RNAcentral.
UAGCUUCCAUCCUAAAGCUGAAUCUGCAA